GACGAACGCUGGCGGCGUGCUUAACACAUGCUAGUCGAACGGAAAGGCCCUGCUUUUGUGGGGUGCUCGAGUGGCGAACGGGUGAGUAACACGUGAGUAACCUGCCCUUGACUUUGGGAUAACUUCAGGAAACUGGGGCUAAUACCGGAUAGGAGCUCCUGCUGCGUGGUGGGGGUUGGAAAGUUUCGGCGGUUGGGGAUGGACUCGCGGCUUAUCAGCUUGUUGGUGGGGUAGUGGCUUACCAAGGCUUUGACGGGUAGCCGGCCUGAGAGGGUGACCGGCCACAUUGGGACUGAGAUACGGCCCAGACUCCUACGGGAGGCAGCAGUGGGGAAUAUUGCACAAUGGGCGGAAGCCUGAUGCAGCAACGCCGCGUGCGGGAUGACGGCCUUCGGGUUGUAAACCGCUUUCGCCUGUGACGAAGCGUGAGUGACGGUAAUGGGUAAAGAAGCACCGGCUAACUACGUGCCAGCAGCCGCGGUGAUACGUAGGGUGCGAGCGUUGUCCGGAUUUAUUGGGCGUAAAGGGCUCGUAGGUGGUUGAUCGCGUCGGAAGUGUAAUCUUGGGGCUUAACCCUGAGCGUGCUUUCGAUACGGGUUGACUUGAGGAAGGUAGGGGAGAAUGGAAUUCCUGGUGGAGCGGUGGAAUGCGCAGAUAUCAGGAGGAACACCAGUGGCGAAGGCGGUUCUCUGGGCCUUUCCUGACGCUGAGGAGCGAAAGCGUGGGGAGCGAACAGGCUUAGAUACCCUGGUAGUCCACGCUGUAAACGGUGGGUACUAGGUGUGGGGUCCAUUCCACGGGUUCCGUGCCGUAGCUAACGCUUUAAGUACCCCGCCUGGGGAGUACGGCCGCAAGGCUAAAACUCAAAGGAAUUGACGGGGCCCCGCACAAGCGGCGGAGCAUGCGGAUUAAUUCGAUGCAACGCGUAGAACCUUACCUGGGUUUGACAUGGAUCGGGAGUGCUCAGAGAUGGGUGUGCCUCUUUUGGGGUCGGUUCACAGGUGGUGCAUGCCUGUCGUCAGCUCGUGUCGUGAGAUGUUGGGUUAAGUCCCGCAACGAGCGCAACCCUUGUUCACUGUUGCCAGCACGUUAUGGUGGGGACUCAGUGGAGACCGCCGGGGUCAACUCGGAGGAAGGUGGGGAUGACGUCAAGUCCUCAUGCCCCUUAUGUCCAGGGCUUCACGCAUGCUACAAUGGCUGGUACAGAGAGUGGCGAGCCUGUGAGGGUGAGCGAAUCUCGGAAAGCCGGUCUCAGUUCGGAUUGGGGUCUGCAACUCGACCUCAUGAAGUCGGAGUCGCUAGUAAUCGCAGAUCAGCAACGCUGCGGUGAAUACGUUCCCGGGGCU
Molecule: ribosomal RNA, 1346 nt
Filed under: uncultured bacterium
Lineage: Bacteria
Description: bacterial SSU rRNA
Rfam family: Bacterial small subunit ribosomal RNA
Source: RNAcentral